UGGGAAUUUUGGACAAUGGGGGCAACCCUGAUCCAGCAAUGCCGCGUGUGUGAAGAAGGCCUUCGGGUUGUAAAGCACUUUUGUCCGGAAAGAAAACGUCGUGGUUAAUACCCGUGGCGGCUGACGGUACCGGAAGAAUAAGCACCGGCUAACUACGUGCCAGCAGCCGCGGUAAUACGUAGGGUGCAAGCGUUAAUCGGAAUUACUGGGCGUAAAGCGUGCGCAGGCGGUCCGCUAAGACAGAUGUGAAAAUCCCCGGGCUUAACCUGGGAACUGCAUUUGUGACUGGCGGGCUAGAGUAUGGCAGAGGGGGGUAGAAUUCCACGUGUAGCAGUGAAAUGCGUAGAGAUGUGGGGGAAUACCGAUGGCGAAGGCAGCCCCCUGGGCCAAUACUGACGCUCAUGCACGAAAGCGUGGGGAGCAAAACAGGAUUAGAUACCCU
This 442-nucleotide ribosomal RNA is filed under the name uncultured bacterium. RNAcentral describes it as "partial 16S ribosomal RNA". It matches the Rfam family "Bacterial small subunit ribosomal RNA", at positions 356 to 788 of the family's 1533-position model. The record is from RNAcentral.